GAUGAACGCGGCGGCGUGCUUAACACAUGCAAGUCGAACGAAGCUGUUAAAAGGAAGUCUUCGGAUGGAAUUUUAACAGACUUAGUGGCGGACGGGUGAGUAACGCGUGGAUAACCUGCCUUAUACAGGGGGAUAACGGAGAGAAAUUUCCGCUAAGACCGCAUAAGACCACAGCACCGCAUGGUGCAGGGGUAAAAUAUUAAUAGGUAUAAGAUGGAUCCGCGUCCGAUUAGCUAGUUGGUGAGGUAGAGGCUCACCAAGGCGACGAUCGGUAGCCGGCCUGAGAGGGUGAACGGCCACAUUGGGACUGAGACACGGCCCAAACUCCUACGGGAGGCAGCAGUGGGGAAUAUUGGACAAUGGGGGAAACCCUGAUCCAGCGACGCCGCGUGAGUGAAGAAGUAUUUCGGUAUGUAAAGCUCUAUCAGCAGGGAAGAAAAUGACGUACCUGACUAAGAGCCCC
Molecule: ribosomal RNA, 463 nt
Filed under: Lachnoanaerobaculum saburreum
Lineage: Bacteria; Bacillati; Bacillota; Clostridia; Lachnospirales; Lachnospiraceae
Description: bacterial SSU rRNA
Rfam family: Bacterial small subunit ribosomal RNA
Source: RNAcentral